This 412-nucleotide ribosomal RNA is filed under the name uncultured archaeon. RNAcentral's name for it is "bacterial SSU rRNA". It matches the Rfam family "Archaeal small subunit ribosomal RNA", at positions 593 to 997 of the family's 1478-position model. The record is from RNAcentral.
UUGGAACCGGGAGAGGUGAGGGGUACUUCGGGGGGUAGGAGUGAAAAUCCUGUAAUCCUCGAGGGACCACCUGUGGCGAAGGCGCCUCACCAGAACGGCUUCGACAGUGAGGGACGAAAGCUGGGGGAGCAAACCGGAUUUAGAUACCCGGGUAGUCCCAGCCGUAAACGAUGUGCGUUAGGUGUAUCGGUGACCACGAGUCACCGAGGUGCCGAAGGGAAACCGUGAAACGUACCGCCUGGGAAGUACGGUCGCAAGGCUGAAACUUAAAGGAAUUGGCGGGGGAGCACCACGAACAGGUGGAGCCUGCGGUUUUAAAUUGGACUCAACGCCGGAAAUCUCACCGGAUAAGACGAGCAGAAUGAUUGCCGGGCUGAAGACUCUGCAUGACUAGCUGAGGAGAGGUGCAUGG